GCGGUAAUACUGGCAGAACAAGUGGUGUCCACGAAUAUUGGGUCUAAAGAGACCGUAGCUGGUCUGUUAAGUCCACUGUGAAAUCUUGGGGCUCAACCUCAAGGCGUGCAGUGGAUACUGGCAGGCUUGAGAGCGGGGGAGGUCAGGGGUACUUACGGGGUAUGAGUAAAAUCAGUUGAUCCUGUAAGGACCACCAGUGGCGAAGGCGCCUGACCAAAACGCGUCUGACAGUGAGGGUCGAAGGCUAGGAGAACGAAUCGGAUUAGAUACCCGAGUAGCCCUAGCAGUAAAUUAUGCAGACUGUGGUGUUGCCAUGGCUUCGGGCCAUGGCAGUGCUGUAGCGUAGGUGUUAAGUCUGCCACCUGGGGAGUACGGCCGCAAGGUUGAAACUUAAAGGAAUUGGCGGGGGAGCACCACAAGGGGUGGAUGCUGCGGUUCAAUUGGAU
Molecule: ribosomal RNA, 446 nt
Filed under: uncultured archaeon
Lineage: Archaea
Description: bacterial SSU rRNA
Rfam family: Archaeal small subunit ribosomal RNA
Source: RNAcentral